CAGGUUUUGGCAUUGACUUGCGUUUGAAUAGCUGUGGGUGACAGACUUACAACAGCGCUGAGAGCAAACGCGCGAUCUUUCUCUUUCAGACCAAACGCUGCGGGCUACACGCCGGGGAUUGCGGGAAAUAUUACAUUUCUACCGGACAAUAAGAGUUUCCUUUAACGGAUUCCAGAGUUUGGACUCAAAUCGGAGGCUGCGUCGCGCGCCGCGCACCAAACAAACGAACGUGCCUUUUUGUCCACGCGCUCAGAUGCGUGUUCAUUCCACUGGCGCAGCACUGAAUAACUAUUGUAGCGGUAGGAGAUUUAUAAGGCAAGUGUUUCCAGCCCAGACAGACACGUUUUCAUAAGGCACAGCUGGUUGCGCUGGCGUGGACUGUUUUUGCCAUCAUUUGUUAGACAUAAGGCAGUUUAUUCCCGUUUAUUGCAAACGACUUCUUGGAUACUGGAUGGCUGUCCGAAGGGGAAUACAACGGAUGCAGGACCAAGCCGGGAAUGCCAGUUGUUCACGAGCAGCAUAAACGAGCUUUGUUGCGCGGUGUUUUUACCCGGGGACAGGUGUCGUUGUGUAUGUUGGGGCGGGGGGUUAGUUGUUGGGGGUUCGGACACAGUUGUCUUAAGGAUGUCAGAUCAGGGAUCAGAUCUGCACAUAGACAGGUGCGAUAGAGAGGAGUAGAUUUCACGCGGACCCCUCCUCUCUUCUCCUCUCAGUCAUUCUGGAUUAUAGUCCCGAGGAGGCGAGUCAUUCACAGAGAACCGGGCUCAACGUUUCCCGCGGCUGUUAUCGCCUCUGUCUCUUUCUCACCCCUUCUGUGAGAGUUCACCGCUGGUGGAGCUGUGUGAAGCUGAGGAGAGUUCAGACCUCAACCUGGAGGAGCUUCACUCAGCUCUAAUCCAACCCUCCAGACCUGUCUGUCUGCCUGCU
Molecule: long non-coding RNA, 927 nt
Filed under: Sinocyclocheilus anshuiensis
Lineage: Eukaryota; Metazoa; Chordata; Actinopteri; Cypriniformes; Cyprinidae
Description: lncRNA (ENSSANG00000034199.1)
Source: RNAcentral